ACGCUCGACACCUACGGGAGGCAGCAGUGGGGAAUAUUGCACAAUGGGGGAAACCCUGAUGCAGCAACGCCGCGUGAAGGAAGAGGGUCUUCGGAUUGUAAACUCCUGUUGUUGGGGAAAAAGAGGAUGGUACCCAACAAGGAAGUGACGGCUAACUACGUGCCAACAGCCGCGGUAAUCUGAGCGGGCUGGCAAGGC
RNAcentral lists this ribosomal RNA (198 nucleotides) under uncultured bacterium. RNAcentral describes it as "partial 16S ribosomal RNA". It matches the Rfam family "Bacterial small subunit ribosomal RNA", at positions 328 to 539 of the family's 1533-position model. The record is from RNAcentral.